AAUCAACGCUGGCGGCGUGCCUCAGACAUGCAAGUCGAACGCGAAAAUCCCCUUCGGGGGAUGAGUAGAGUGGCGCACGGGUGAGUAACACGUAGGUAAUCUACCUUUGGGUGGGGAAUAACAGCCGGAAACGGCUGCUAAUACCGCAUAAUGCAGCGGCUCGACAUCGAGACAGUUGUUAAAGCGGGGGAUCUUCGGACCUCGCGCCUAAAGAGGAGCCUGCGGCAGAUAGCUAGUUGGCAGGGUAAUGGCCUACCAAGGCGACGAUCUGUAGCCGGCCUGAGAGGGCGGUCGGCCACACUGACACUGACAUAUGGGUCAGACUCCUACGGAGGCAGCAGUCGGGAAUUUUGGGCAAUGGGCGCAAGCCUGACCCAGCAACGCCGCGUGAAGGAUGAAAUCCCUCGGGAUGUAAACUUCGCAAGAAUGGGAAGAAUAAGUGGGGGACAAGUACCCCCA
Molecule: ribosomal RNA, 459 nt
Filed under: uncultured bacterium
Lineage: Bacteria
Description: bacterial SSU rRNA
Rfam family: Bacterial small subunit ribosomal RNA
Source: RNAcentral